Molecule: ribosomal RNA, 1316 nt
Filed under: Protohermes differentialis
Lineage: Eukaryota; Metazoa; Arthropoda; Insecta; Megaloptera; Corydalidae
Description: 16S ribosomal RNA
Rfam family: Archaeal large subunit ribosomal RNA (bases 624-1316)
Source: RNAcentral
AAGAAAAUAUUGAAUUAUUUUUAAUGUUUAUAAUUAUUGUUUAAUAUAAAUAAAUUUAUAAUUAAAGGUUUUUGUAUAGUUUAUAGAUCUAAUAAUUUUUUUGAUAGUUAAUUAGUAUUGAGAAAGAAAAUUGAAAAAUAUUUUUGUUUAUUAAAAAGUAGUAUUAAUUUUGUGUACCUUUUGUAUCAGGGUUUAUUAAAUAAAAUUAAAAGAUUUUAUAUUCUCGAAUUUAAAGGAGCUAAAUUAAUAUGAAAGUUUUUGUAUUAUAAAAAUUUUUAAUAUUAAUUUAGUAAUGAAAUGUUAUUCGUCUUUAAAUAUAUCUAGUUUUUUAAGAAAUAAAUUUAAUUUACAUAUUAAUUAAUUAAUUUUUUAAUUUUAAAAUAAAUUAAUAAUUAAUAUGAAUAUAUCAAGGGAUAAGCUUUGAUUUAUUAGAAUUAUAAUUGGAUAAGAUAUUUUAUUAAUUGUAGAUUUAGAAAUAGUUAUCAAUAAAAAAUUUGUAUUAAUUUAUAAAUUUCUAAAAAAUAUUUAAUUAAAUUUAAUUUUAGUAUUAAAAUUUGGGUUAUAAUUUUUAAAAUUUAGCAAUAAUGAUAAAAUUAGUAUAAUAAAAUUGUUUAAAUAUAAUUUAUAAAAAAGUUAUUUUAAGGAAUUCGGCAAAAAUAAUGUUCACCUGUUUAACAAAAACAUGUCUUUUAGAAUAUAAUUUAAAGUCUAACCUGCCCACUGAAUUUUUUUGAAGGGCCGCGGUAUUUUGACUGUGCAAAGGUAGCAUAAUCAUUAGUCUUUUAAUUGGAGGCUUGUAUGAAUGGUUGGAUGAAACAUUAACUGUCUCAAUUUAAUAAAAGUAGAAUUUAAUUUUUAAGUUAAAAAGCUUAAAUUUAAUUAGAGGACGAGAAGACCCUAUAGAUCUUUAUAAUUAAUUAUUUUUUUAUUAAUUUAGAAAAUUAAUUAAUAUUAAUUAUUUAAUUAUUUUAUUGGGGUGAUAAAUAAAUUUAAUAAACUUUAUUUAAAUUUAACAUUUAUUUAUGAAUAUUUGAUCCAUUAUUAAUGAUUAAAAGAUUAAGUUACCUUAGGGAUAACAGCGUAAUUUUUUUAGAGAGUUCAUAUCGAUAAAAAAGUUUGCGACCUCGAUGUUGAAUUAAAGGUUAAUUUUAGGUGCAGAAGUUUAAAGUUUUGGUCUGUUCGACCAUUAAAUCUUUACAUGAUUUGAGUUCAAACCGGCGUGAGCCAGGUUGGUUUCUAUCCUUAAUAAAAUAAAAUAUUUUAGUACGAAAGGACCAAAUAUUUAAAAAAUUUUUUAAAAAAGGAAUUAUAUUAAU